Molecule: ribosomal RNA, 253 nt
Filed under: uncultured bacterium
Lineage: Bacteria
Description: partial 16S ribosomal RNA
Rfam family: Bacterial small subunit ribosomal RNA
Source: RNAcentral
UACAGAGGUCCCAAGCGUUGUUCGGAUUCACUGGGCGUAAAGGGUGCGUAGGCGGUCGGGUAAGUCUGUCGUGAAAUCUCCGAGCCCAACUCGGAAACUGCGUCGGAUACUAUUCGGCUAGAGGAAUGGAGGGGAGACUGGAAUUCUCGGUGUAGCAGUGAAAUGCGUAGAUAUCGAGAGGAACACCAGUGGCGAGGGCGAGUCUCUGGACAUUUCCUGACGCUGAGGCACGAAAGCCAGGGGAGCAAACGGG